GGAAGGAUCAUUACUGAAUUGUCAACACGAGUUGUUGCUGGUCCUCAAAUGGGGGCAUGUGCACGCUCUGUUUACACAUCCACUCACACCUGUGCACCCUCUGUAGUUCUGUGGCUGGGGGGACUCUGUCCUUCUGCUGCGGUUCUAUGUCUUUACACACACUCUGUAUUAAAGUCUCAUGGAAUGUAUCCUGCGUUUAACGCAAUACAAUACAACUUUCAGCAACGGAUCUCUUGGCUCUCGCAUCGAUGAAGAACGCAGCGAAAUGCGAUAAGUAAUGUGAAUUGCAGAAUUCAGUGAAUCAUCGAAUCUUUGAACGCACCUUGCGCCCUUUGGCUAUUCCGAAGGGCAUGCCUGUUUGAGUAUCAUGAACACCUCAACUCUCAUGGUUUGCCAUGACGAGCUUGGACUCUGGGGGUCUUGCUGGCCUGCGGUCAGCUCCCCUCAAAUGGAUCAGCUAUCCAGUGUUUGGCGGCGUCACAGGUGUGAUAAAUAUCUACGCUUGUGGUUUUCUGCCAAGUAACCUUCAGCGAUGGAGGUUUGCUGGGGCUCAUAAAUGUCUCUCCUCAGUGAAGACAGCUUUGUGAAUGUUUGAUCUCAAAUCAGGUAGGACUACCCGCUGAACUUAAGCAUAUCAAUAAGCGGAGGAAAAGAAACUAACAAGGAUUCCCCUAGUAACUGCGAGUGAAGCGGGAAGAGCUCAAAUUUAAAAUCUGGCUGCCUCUGGCCGUCCGAGUUGUAGUCUGGAGAAGCGUUUUCCGUGUUGGACCGUGUAUAAGUCUCUUGGAACAGGGCGUCAUAGAGGGUGAGAAUCCCGUCUUUGACACGGACUACCAAUGCUUUGUGAUGCGCUCUCAAAGAGUCGAGUUGUUUGGGAAUGCAGCUCAAAAUGGGUGGUAAAUUCCAUCUAAAGCUAAAU
RNAcentral lists this ribosomal RNA (919 nucleotides) under uncultured fungus. RNAcentral's name for it is "eukaryotic LSU rRNA". The stretch from base 593 to 919 matches the Rfam family "Eukaryotic large subunit ribosomal RNA", at positions 1 to 321 of the family's 3401-position model. The record is from RNAcentral. Lineage: Eukaryota; Fungi.